CUCGGGUAAGCGACCUAGAACUAUUCUAGGAUUUUGGGUGAGAGAAAAAUCAAAGAGAAGAGAGUCUUCAUCAUAUUUUUUUUCACCAUCCAGCAUCUCCUCUGAUCCAUCUUCGAUAUCAAAAAGGUUUGAUAUGAUUGAAAGAAGAAAUCAAAUCAGAUCUGCCAUCAGAAGCCGACUACAUGAGCUAGCACUCCCACAAAGAGCUGAUUGAUCCAAAGACUUCAUGUGGACUAUCCGUAGAGGUCGAAUGCUUAUGUGGCUAUGAGCGACUAGGGAGGACUUUUAGAUCUACAUUCUCAAUUGUGAAGAUCGACUACCCUCGCUCAGGUA
This 333-nucleotide long non-coding RNA is filed under the name Elaeis guineensis (African oil palm). RNAcentral describes it as "long non-coding RNA (EGUI_LNC070294)". The record is from RNAcentral. Lineage: Eukaryota; Viridiplantae; Streptophyta; Magnoliopsida; Arecales; Arecaceae.